This 253-nucleotide ribosomal RNA is filed under the name uncultured bacterium. RNAcentral describes it as "partial 16S ribosomal RNA". It matches the Rfam family "Bacterial small subunit ribosomal RNA", at positions 524 to 776 of the family's 1533-position model. The record is from RNAcentral.
UACGUAGGGUGCAAGCGUUAAUCGGAAUUACUGGGCGUAAAGCGUGCGCAGGCGGUUUUGUAAGUCUGUCGUGAAAUCCCCGGGCUCAACCUGGGAAUGGCAUUUGUGACUGGAAGGCUAGAGUGUGUCAGAGGGGGGUAGAAUUCCACGUGUAGCAGUGAAAUGCGUAGAGAUGUGGAGGAACACCGAUGGCGAAGGCAGCCCCCUGGGUCAAGAUUGACGCUCAUGCACGAAAGCGUGGGGAGCAAACAGG